Eleginops maclovinus (Patagonian blennie) is the source of this 3802-nucleotide long non-coding RNA. RefSeq lists it as uncharacterized. The record is from RefSeq and is a predicted model, not a curated record. Lineage: Eukaryota; Metazoa; Chordata; Actinopteri; Perciformes; Eleginopidae. The transcript is spliced from 2 exons.
UUGCUCGAGACUCUCUGAUGACCAUUUCUGCCACUCGAAGCACAACAACAUGUGAGUUAUGGCCUCCGCCUAUCUGAAAUGCAGACAAAAGUUACUUUACUACAUCUGAGUUGUUAGUUAUACCAUCAGCCAGACCACAUAAGAUAAGAUAAGAUAAGAUAAGAUAAGAUAAGAUAAGAUAAGAUAAGAUGUACCUUUAUUAAUCCCUGUGGGAGGUUUACACAGGGAUAUGAAACACACAUUUAAAAAUAUAAAAUUCUAAAAACUAAAAAAAUGAAUAUAUACAGAUAAGUAACGAGACUAUUGUUAAAAAUAUACACAUGUAUGUGUUCAGAAAGAGAGUGCAUGUCAAAGUUACUGUGCAAAAGUGCUAAAGCGCAGGCUUUAUGUGCAGUCCGGGUUAUUGUCAGUGAGUCACAUGGUUAACCCCUUGUUGUGCAGCCUAAUGGCUACAGGCACAAAGGAGUUUCCCAGCUGUCUAGUGCUGUGCUGCGGUUUUGUUCAGCUUGGCAGGCUACAACAUUUAACACUUAUUCAUCUCAUUUAACAGAAAUAAAGUGUUGCGUGCACAUGAUACUGAUGAAAGAUAUCUGUGAAGAUUGUCUCUUACUUAGUUUUAGGAAGUGUUUGAAACGGGAAGUUCACUUUGAUGUGGAUGAAUUGAGAACAAAAGGAUCUAGUAGUUAAAAGUACAUGUCCUGUGUCACAUCUUUCAACAUUCCUGGUCUACAUAAAACACCCUGUAACAUUUAUUUAUGAUAACAAAGGAGUCAUGCAAAGGGUUGAGAAUAAUAUGCUCAAUUCUUAUUCCUGGGUUUAUGCUAAAGUUACUAUAGGUAUAUACUGUAUAGGUACACAUGUCAUUUUUUGGCAUUUGACAAAGGGGUUUUAAAUACAGGUGAUGACAUUUAAUCAAGCAAACAUUUCAGACAAGACUCAAAGACCGAUCAUGAAGAACCGGCUCAACUUGUUUUACAGCAUAUCCAUUGUAUAACAGCAAAGUAACUACUAACUAUAACUGAGGGAUGUAUGAAUGGAGUAAAACUAAAUAUAUUUUCCUCUGAAAUGUAGUAAACAUUAAAUGUAAAAAAUGAGUAAAUUAAAAAUACCGUAAAAUUGUACUACAGUGCUUUAGUUAUAGUACUUUUCACCAGUUUAAACUUGAACUAAAAAGUGUUAUGCAGAUAGCAGUAGAUUCCUGUAACAGUCAGUGGAGGGUGUUUAUCUACCUGUCCCGCAGGUUGUUUGGAGAAGGCAUCCACCAACUUCUCCACCCCGUAGUGCAUGAGUAGGGAUGUGUUGUACAUAAACUGAGAGUAUGGGAUGUCAUCGCCGUCGAUGAGGAAGCUGUCAGGCAUCAGCGGGUGCCAGUGGUAGAUGUGGCAGAACUCCAGAGCGAUGCGGUUGUUGUACUGGAACUGCGCGUUGAAGAGCAGACUGGGAUCGAACUUCAGAUCCAGAAGUCGCAGAGAGAGAGGAUGUGUGGCAGCUGACACCUGUUUGAGAAUUAAACUGCAAAAGUUUGCACUUGUAAUGCUCACCAAUGAUGAUGAGUCUAGUGGUUUGAAAGAGCUGCUCAUCGUCCCAGGUGGGAUGUUCUACCUUCAGGACGUCACAGACUCGGUUGUGCUCCCUCAGCCAUACGGUGGCGUACAUGGUGAGUCCCGGCAGGAGGCCAAACACUUCCUGACCAGUUACCAGACGCUUCUCUGGAGGGAAGUCUUCAGGGUACACCAUGUGCACAGGGACCUCUGAUACUGUGGGGGGGUACAUCUCACCGUUUACUAACUGUAACAAACACAAAAAGAAGUCCACAUAUGAGAGAGAAGUCUUCAUUCUGGGUUGUUUAAACAUUAUUUAAUUGCAUAUUUCUUAAUAAAGUAAUUUUUUUUGUGCAUGUCAUUACAGAAUUGAGAAUACUUGCUGGUGGAAAAAGUGUUUAGCUUUUGAUAAAUAGUGUUUGAGGAAGUUUCCUAUCAAACCCCAUCACAAGUUAAAGGCGUCAUGUGCCUUUGAGUGUUAUCUCUCUUUAACCACUAUAUAAUUAUCACUGCUAACUGGAAAUUGUAUGACCACAUUCUCAGUAAUUAUCAUGACACAGGAAGUAAACGUUCUUAAGCUGAUCUUUAGAUAUGCAUGUAUAAACAUUUGAUAUACUAAUUUAAAUAGUUUUACAGUUCCUCAAAUGAUAUGACUGCAAAAUUACGUUUUGGCAAUUCAUGUUAUUUGCCUUGUUCAGAGUUAGAGGAGAAUAUUAAUACCCCUCCCAGACAUUUGAGUAGUACUAAUCUUCUCAUCUAUCUCACAGCAAAAAAGUGCACUCUCAAAAUGUCAUAAAUGUUUUUAUUACCUGAUAUUUCAGCUUUCCAUCUUCAUGAAGCCGUAGGUGAAGCUGUCGCAUAAGGUUGUCUCCAUAGAUAUUGCUCGCAUCUACCUGGGAAGAGGGAAAUACAUACAUCUGUUAAUAUUUUCAACACCAAGAAAUAAUGAAAGAGUCAUAUGGUGAUUAACACAGAAUGUGAGUUUAAUCUCACCCCAUGUCCUAAAGCCUUGGUGAAGCCACCUUUUACUUCCUGGUUUGUCUUGAAGAACUGGUGAGUGAAGUGUUGCGCCAUGAAAGCAAACAUCACGUUGGUUCCCUGAGGGUCUGGCCUGAAUGUCUUUCUCUUAAAAAAGCUCUCGGCCAACACUUUGGGAUCAGGAAGCUGAGGUUUACCUGUAGUGAAAGUGAUGUUUAAAGAUUUUCGCAGAGCUCAGCCGACUGUGUGUAGUUUUUCAGGUCUCACCUUUAGUUCCCAUCGGCAACGGGCAGUCUUUAGGUACAGGAGGGAGGAGACGGGUGUAGUAGGACAUGUUGGAAUAAGACUCCCAGCUGAGGUAUUCAUAUUUAGUAUUGUAGGUUGGAGGGCUUGGAAUAAGGUUGCUUCUGACUUUGGGAGAAUGGGACAAUAUUAACAUUGUCUGUUCAUAAUUUAAAUACCAGAGUAUAACUCAAUAAAAUGCUGAGGAAAAAUGUUAGCUGCAAUCAACAUCCAUUGAUUUAUCUACUGUGGUUCUUUAUCUUUACCAUGACACUUUUCACCUACCAGUCAGCACUAAUCUCAUUAACGUGUCUCGCAGGAAAGAGUUGUUUACGAGGUCCCAGAACCAGUGGAAGUGUGUGAGGAAGAAGUGAACCGCCGUAGGCCUCGGCUUCAGCAUGAGACGAACUCUGGUCCAAAGCUCCGCUACACACAAAGAUCAAGCAAAAGUUAUCUUUGUCACAUUUCAAAUUAAGCAUUCUGUGUAAGGGGUUGGGAGUCAUCUUACUAAAUAAUGUAUUAAUGCUUUAUAGAUGACUUAGGCUUUAUUGAGAACAUUUUUUUUAUUAUCAGGUGGUAAAACAUCCCUCAAAAAUGACUCUUUCUUAAUGUUUUUUAGCUCUAUAAUGUGGUAGAGGGUUACAGUCGUCUAUGGGACUGUUCUGGAAAAGACCUGCAGGGCAUCUGAAGUACAAUGUAUUGAAUAACAAACUUAUAUAUAUUUACAACUUAAGGCUUUAUGAAUUUCUGAAGGACUGAAAACCAAAAUAAACACAUACCAUAAUUGCAGUACUAAUAUUCCUUUAUCUACUCGACAUUGAGCACUUCCUUUAUGCUUGUUUUUCUUAAGUUUCUAAAUUGACAUUACCACCAGCACAACAAUUGAUGGAUUGGGGAUAUAUGUGUGCAAUGGAGGUAACAGGGGAGCUUGAAAUCGCUACUUGAAAAGGUUGAAAAGAAAUCCACUGUGUUUUUUCAAAUAAACCACAUCCAGAUGUUGA